GAAGCGGCUUCCCAAGGCGGAAGUUUCUCCUUAGGCCUGUAUUCGCAUUAUACACUGAGACACAAAUUAGACAACCACAUGUUACUCUAGGGCAGUGUUUCUCAAUCUUGUCAACAGGAAGUUGUGUGGACUUCAGCUUCAAGCCUGGCUGAGGAAUUCUGGGAGUCGAAAUCCAAACAUCUUCCAGUUGCGAAGAUUGAGAAACGCUGCCCUAUUGCCCUGUGCUCGUUCAAGCCGUUCUGUCUUCAGGUGAGCACCGUGGGACUUGGAGUGGAGGAAUAAUAGGAAGGAUCUGGUGAUGAACGCUGGGCCAAAGGAAUGAGAGAAUGGAUAUCUACAACACCUACAACAGUUUCCUCCAGCCUGACCUCUUCUUGAUGGGCUUUUUUUUUUUCUCUGUCUCCACAUCUGCUGGGUACAUGCUGAAAAUAAGAGUAAGCAGGUAAAAUGAAAGUAAAUCAGCUGCAGAUGGUCCCCUCCUCAUCUUUAAUUUAUACCCGACAGAGUAUCUUUCAAUUCUCCAAUCAAGCCAACAAUCCUGGAAUUUCCAGAUCUAAAUACCACUAAGGCCAAUCCUGCCUCAAUUAUGAAAUCAGCCAAGAACCAUUGGAUGCUACCAUUUGUAUAAGUUCAGAGCAUAUUUUUAACUAUUUUGAAAACAAGUUUUGUAGAUCAAAAUUCUCCCCAAAAAUUUGUACAAAGAAUUUUCUGUGAAGAACAAAACUGGAUGGCAGUAAGGUGAAAGGAACAGGGGAAUAGGUAGGGGAAAAUAAGAAAUAAAGCUCUGUUUAGAUAUUAUAAAAAGGAUUUAAAUUCAGAAAGUGAACAACAGAGGGGAGCUUAAUCCUUCCCAUAUCCCCAGCAAGAGUGAAUAUCCAAAGACCAUCCACAACCAUAUCUGCAAUUAUUUGUACUUUCUGCUAUAGUUUUUCUAUAAAGUUAUGGACCUUCAUUGAAAUCUAAGGAAAAUAUGUAUUUUUAAAUUUUUAAACUAGAGCCUGAAUUCUGAAGGUUGCCGAACAGUCUCUCCAUGCAGCAUUCAGCAUCUCUUUAUGAGAACAGCAGAUGAUCAACAAAGAGCUGAAGCAACAAUAUGGAUUCACACUACUU
Molecule: long non-coding RNA, 1110 nt
Organism: Crotalus tigris (Tiger rattlesnake)
Lineage: Eukaryota; Metazoa; Chordata; Lepidosauria; Squamata; Viperidae
Exons: 5
Source: RefSeq, a predicted model, not a curated record